UGAGGAAUAUUGGUCAAUGGGCGCAAGCCUGAACCAGCCAUCCCGCGUGCAGGAAGACGGCGCUAUGCGUUGUAAACUGCUUUUCCAGGGGGAGAAACUUGCGCACGUGUUGCGCAAUUGACGGUACCCUGGGAAUAAGCAUCGGCUAACUCCGUGCCAGCAGCCGGGGUAAUACGGAGGAUGCGAGCGUUAUCCGGAUUCAUUGGGUUGAAAGGGUGCGUAGGCGGACUAUUAAGUCAGUGGUGAAAUCCUGCAGCUUAACGGCAGAACUGCCAUUGAAACUGAUAGCCUUGAGGUUGGUUAAGGUAGGCGGAAUUUGUAAUGUAGCGGUGAAAUGCUUAGAUAUUACACAGAACACCAAUUGCGUAGGCAGCUUACUGGGCCGACACUGACGCUGAGGCACGAAAGCGUGGGGAUCGAACA
This 423-nucleotide ribosomal RNA is filed under the name uncultured prokaryote. Its description in RNAcentral is "bacterial SSU rRNA". It matches the Rfam family "Bacterial small subunit ribosomal RNA", at positions 355 to 774 of the family's 1533-position model. The record is from RNAcentral.